RNAcentral lists this long non-coding RNA (235 nucleotides) under Setaria viridis. RNAcentral's name for it is "long non-coding RNA (SVIR_LNC011346)". Lineage: Eukaryota; Viridiplantae; Streptophyta; Magnoliopsida; Poales; Poaceae. The record is from RNAcentral.
GGAAGGAAGCUCGUGUCACAGGGAUGUCCCCAAAAAUGUAUUCUAGGUUCAGCCCCUCACAUCUUAUUGGCACCACACUUGAUUUCUCGAAAUUUGUUUUCAAACCCGAGGCUUCUCCAAAUCUGGGAGAAGAUCAUCUAAACCGGUGAUAUCCUGCCUGAUCGGGUUCAAGAAAAUAGUUGUGUUGUCGACGUACAUGGAUGUCCGAAAAUUGAGGGACCUGCCUCUUAGCUUG